RNAcentral lists this ribosomal RNA (253 nucleotides) under uncultured bacterium. RNAcentral's name for it is "partial 16S ribosomal RNA". It matches the Rfam family "Bacterial small subunit ribosomal RNA", at positions 524 to 776 of the family's 1533-position model. The record is from RNAcentral.
UACGGGGGGGGUAAGCGUUGUUCGGAAUUACUGGGCGUAAAGGGCUCGUAGGCGGCCAACUAAGUCAGACGUGAAAUCCCUCAGCUUAACCGGGGAACUGCGUCUGAUACUGGAUGGCUUGAGUUCGGGAGAGGGAUGCGGAAUUCCAGGUGUAGCGGUGAAAUGCGUAGAUAUCUGGAGGAACACCGGUGGCGAAGGCGGCAUCCUGGACCGAUACUGACGCUGAGGAGCGAAAGCCAGGGGAGCAAACGGG